CCCUUAGAUGUUCUGGGCCGCACGCGCGCUACACUGACGAAUGCAACGAGCUUAUAACCUUGGCCGAAAGGUCUGGGUAAUCUCCAAAAUCCGUCGUGAUGGGGAUAGAUUAUUGCAAUUAUUAAUCUUCAACGAGGAAUGCCUAGUAAGCGCAAGUCAUCAGCUUGCGUUGAUUACGUCCCCGCCCUUUGUACACACCGCCCGUCGCUCCUACCGAUUGAAUGGUCCGGUGAAGCGUUUGGACUAUGGUUUUCUGAUGGUCCGCCGUUGGAUUACCGUGGGAAGUUCGUUAAACCUUAUCAUUUAGAGGAAGGAGAAGUCGUAACA
This 327-nucleotide ribosomal RNA is filed under the name uncultured eukaryote. RNAcentral describes it as "partial 18S ribosomal RNA". It matches the Rfam family "Eukaryotic small subunit ribosomal RNA", at positions 1470 to 1796 of the family's 1831-position model. The record is from RNAcentral.